This is a long non-coding RNA of Capsicum annuum, 566 nucleotides long. RefSeq lists it as uncharacterized. The transcript has 4 exons. The record is from RefSeq and is a predicted model, not a curated record. NCBI's taxonomy places the organism in Eukaryota, Viridiplantae, Streptophyta, Magnoliopsida, Solanales, Solanaceae.
GGAUCAUUUCCUAGGGUUAAAUGCAAAUGAGUCCUCACAGUCUUCUUGUCUAGCCACUUGGAGAGAUGGAAGCUAUUGUUUUCCUCUAUAUGUACAAUUUUUACAAGGUGUUGCUUGGUUGGGAAAUGAGAUAUUCGAGCAUUAAUUAUUCCGGGAUUAGUAUCAUAGCUUCAAGGAAUGGAUUACUCUUGCUUGUGGCAUCUGCUACAACCUGAAUUUGUGAGUGAGUAUAAUAAUUGUUGAUUCUUCUUUAACAUUUUGCUCGUAUUCUUCUGCUUAAAUCUUUUGUUUUUUUAGUUUUCUUGGUUUUGAAGGGGUACUUAGUUCUUAGAUGUAGGUUGUUCAAUCUAUGUUGCUCGGACUCUUCAAAAAUGUCAACUGGUGCAGCAUCGGAAGUGAAGAGUCCACACAACUUAGUGUUCGAUUGUAUUGGUGAUUAGCUAAUUCAUGUUGUCCAGUUUCUUAUUUCAAAUGAACUCCGAGACUAAUUUGUCAAUGGGGCAAUCAGUCUUUGGAUUUUUAGACAACUAAUCGAAAAACUUUCAUGUAGAAAUCCAUGAUGGCUA